This 251-nucleotide ribosomal RNA is filed under the name uncultured bacterium. Its description in RNAcentral is "partial 16S ribosomal RNA". It matches the Rfam family "Bacterial small subunit ribosomal RNA", at positions 78 to 334 of the family's 1533-position model. The record is from RNAcentral.
CUUUUGCUGGCGACCGGCGCACGGGUGAGUAACACGUAUCCAACCUGCCCUUUACUCGGGGAUAGCCUUUCGAAAGAAAGAUUAAUACCCGAUAGCAUAAUGAUUCCGCAUGGUUUCAUUAUUAAAGGAUUCCGGUAAAGGAUGGGGAUGCGUUCCAUUAGGCUGUUGGUGAGGUAACGGCCCACCAAGCCUUCGAUGGAUAGGGGUUCUGAGAGGAAGGUCCUCCACAUUGGAACUGAGACACGGUCCAA